GGUUAAGUUAGAAAGGGCGCACGGUGGAUGCCUUGACACUAGGAGUCGAUGAAGGACGGGACUAACGCCGAUAUGCUUCGGGGAGCUGUAAGUAAGCUUUGAUCCGAAGAUUUCCGAAUGGGGAAACCCACCAUACGUAAUGGUAUGGUAUCCUUAUCUGAAUACAUAGGAUAAGGAAGACAGACCCAGGGAACUGAAACAUCUAAGUACCUGGAGGAAGAGAAAGCAAAUGCGAUUUCCUGAGUAGCGGCGAGCGAAACGGAACAUAGCCCAAACCAAGAGGCUUGCCUCUUGGGGUUGUAGGACAUUCUAUACGGAGUUACAAAGGAACGAGGUAGACGAAGCGACCUGGAAAGGUCCGUCGUAGAGGGUAACAACCCCGUAGUCGAAACUUCGUUCUCUCUUGAAUGUAUCCUGAGUACGGCGGAACACGUGAAAUUCCGUCGGAAUCUGGGAGGACCAUCUCCCAAGGCUAAAUACUCCCUAGUGAUCGAUAGUGAACCAGUACCGUGAGGGAAAGGUGAAAAGCACCCCGGAAGGGGAGUGAAAGAGAUCCUGAAACCGUGUGCCUACAAAUAGUCAGAGCCCGUUAACGGGUGAUGGCGUGCCUUUUGUAGAAUGAACCGGCGAGUUACGAUCCCGUGCGAGGUUAAGCUGAAGAGGCGGAGCCGCAGCGAAAGCGAGUCUGAAUAGGGCGUUUAGUACGUGGUCGUAGACCCGAAACCAGGUGAUCUACCCAUGUCCAGGGUGAAGUUCAGGUAACACUGAAUGGAGGCCCGAACCCACGCACGUUGAAAAGUGCGGGGAUGAGGUGUGGGUAGCGGAGAAAUUCCAAUCGAACCUGGAGAUAGCUGGUUCUCCCCGAAAUAGCUUUAGGGCUAGCCUUAAGUGUAAGAGUCUUGGAGGUAGAGCACUGAUUGGACUAGGGGUCCUCAUCGGAUUACCGAAUUCAGUCAAACUCCGAAUGCCAAUGACUUAUCCUUAGGAGUCAGACUGCGAGUGAUAAGAUCCGUAGUCAAAAGGGAAACAGCCCAGACCGCCAGCUAAGGUCCCAAAGUGUGUAUUAAGUGGAAAAGGAUGUGGAGUUGCUUAGACAACUAGGAUGUUGGCUUAGAAGCAGCCACCAUUUAAAGAGUGCGUAAUAGCUCACUAGUCGAGUGACUCUGCGCCGAAAAUGUACCGGGGCUAAAUACACCACCGAAGCUGCGGAUUGAUACCAAUGGUAUCAGUGGUAGGGGAGCGUUCUAAGGACAGUGAAGUCAGACCGGAAGGACUGGUGGAGUGCUUAGAAGUGAGAAUGCCGGUAUGAGUAGCGAAAGACGGGUGAGAAUCCCGUCCACCGAAUGCCUAAGGUUUCCUGAGGAAGGCUCGUCCGCUCAGGGUUAGUCAGGACCUAAGCCGAGGCCGACAGGCGUAGGCGAUGGACAACAGGUUGAUAUUCCUGUACCACCUCUUUAUCGUUUGAGCAAUGGAGGGACGCAGAAGGAUAGAAGAAGCGUGCGAUUGGUUGUGCACGUCCAAGCAGUUAGGCUGAUAAGUAGGCAAAUCCGCUUAUCGUGAAGGCUGAGCUGUGAUGGGGAAGCUCCUUAUGGAGCGAAGUCUUUGAUUCCCCGCUGCCAAGAAAAGCUUCUAGCGAGAUAAAAGGUGCCUGUACCGCAAACCGACACAGGUAGGCGAGGAGAGAAUCCUAAGGUGUGCGAGAGAACUCUGGUUAAGGAACUCGGCAAAAUGACCCCGUAACUUCGGGAGAAGGGGUGCUUUCUUAACGGAAAGCCGCAGUGAAUAGGCCCAAGCGACUGUUUAGCAAAAACACAGCUCUCUGCGAAGCCGUAAGGCGAAGUAUAGGGGGUGACACCUGCCCGGUGCUGGAAGGUUAAGGAGAGGGGUUAGCGUAAGCGAAGCUCUGAACUGAAGCCCCAGUAAACGGCGGCCGUAACUAUAACGGUCCUAAGGUAGCGAAAUUCCUUGUCGGGUAAGUUCCGACCCGCACGAAAGGUGUAACGAUUUGGGCACUGUCUCAACCAGAGACUCGGUGAAAUUAUAGUACCUGUGAAGAUGCAGGUUACCCGCGACAGGACGGAAAGACCCCGUGGAGCUUUACUGUAGCCUGAUAUUGAAUUUUGGUACAGUUUGUACAGGAUAGGCGGGAGCCUUUGAAACCGGAGCGCUAGCUUCGGUGGAGGCGCUGGUGGGAUACCGCCCUGACUGUAUUGAAAUUCUAACCUACGGGUCUUAUCGACCCGGGAGACAGUGUCAGGUGGGCAGUUUGACUGGGGCGGUCGCCUCCUAAAGUGUAACGGAGGCGCCCAAAGGUUCCCUCAGAAUGGUUGGAAAUCAUUCGUAGAGUGCAAAGGCAUAAGGGAGCUUGACUGCGAGACCUACAAGUCGAGCAGGGACGAAAGUCGGGCUUAGUGAUCCGGUGGUUCCGCAUGGAAGGGCCAUCGCUCAACGGAUAAAAGCUACCCCGGGGAUAACAGGCUUAUCUCCCCCAAGAGUCCACAUCGACGGGGAGGUUUGGCACCUCGAUGUCGGCUCAUCGCAUCCUGGGGCUGUAGUCGGUCCCAAGGGUUGGGCUGUUCGCCCAUUAAAGCGGUACGCGAGCUGGGUUCAGAACGUCGUGAGACAGUUCGGUCCCUAUCCGUCGUGGGCGUAGGAAAUUUGAGAGGAGCUGUCCUUAGUACGAGAGGACCGGGAUGGACGCACCGCUGGUGUACCAGUUGUUCUGCCAAGGGCAUAGCUGGGUAGCUAUGUGCGGAAGGGAUAAGUGCUGAAAGCAUCUAAGCAUGAAGCCCCCCUCAAGAUGAGAUUUCCCAUAGCGUAAGCUAGUAAGAUCCCUGAAAGAUGAUCAGGUUGAUAGGUUCGAGGUGGAAGCAUGGUGACAUGUGGAGCUGACGAAUACUAAUAGAUCGAGGACUUAACCAU
This is a ribosomal RNA of Bacillus anthracis str. 'Ames Ancestor', 2922 nucleotides long. It matches the Rfam family "Bacterial large subunit ribosomal RNA". Lineage: Bacteria; Bacillati; Bacillota; Bacilli; Caryophanales; Bacillaceae. The record is from Rfam.